GCUUCACUCCUGUGCUUCCCUCCUCCAAUCAUUCUUUUUUUUCCCUCCUUCCCUCCCUCCUUUCCUUCCUCUCUUCUACAUAUCACUAUUUGGUAAAUAUUCACUCUAUGCCACUGUGCUUGGUGCUGGGGACACAGUGGUGAACAACUCAGACACUGUUUCAACUCUCGUGGAGCCUACAGACCAGUGAAACAGCUCAAGAGGCUAAAACUUUAAUUGUGGCCUCUGUCUACUUGGAAUUCAUUGAUAUUCCCAGAUGUGUAGAUUUCAAUACUUCUCAUCAGAUUUCAUCUGGAAACUUAAUCCCAUAUAGUAUUUUGUCUGAUUUGUGAAUUGCUUUACAUGGAAGACAUCUCAAAGGAUAAUGGGGGAAACCCAAACCAGAAAUGCCAUCAGCCUGUGGACUGUGGUUGAGUUUUGAUAGCUUAACCUUCACAAACCCUUUGGCAAGAAGGAGUAUGUGAGUCAGAAAUCCCAGAGACAACCCAAAGCUCUAUUGCUACUGGAGCUGCAGAAGUACCACUUGCUGUCCUUGGGCUGGAGAAGAAACAAAAAGCCUGGAUGUUUUGCUGGCACCUCGAGCAUCACACAGUCACCAUAGAGAGAGGAGCCCAGCCUCUCAGUCUCUCUUCACUGUGAGCCUCUAUCUCCUACUCUUCACCAAGCAGCCCUGCCCCGCACAGAGCUGCCCCAACCCUGGAUGAACAUUUCCAUUGGCAGUGGCUCUGUUUCUCCAGGGUGAGGCUCCCAGAGGCCACUGAAAGUCCCUCUGCCAUUGCAACUGCAGAGGUACUGCCCUUGCUGCCUUUGCACUGGAGAAGGAACAAAGACCCUAAGUGCUUUACUCAUACCUCCAGCCUGCCACAGCUGCCCUAGGGAGAAGAAGCCAUUCUGUCUUCCCUGCAAACCCCUCAUCCCCCUGUUCAUCACCAGGCAGGGCCUCCUGGCUUGGGCCCUCAAUGCGGCUACCCAUCCUGGGGCUGAUUGUUCCAAUUGGCAGCAACUCUUAAUUUCUCUGAAGUGAAGCCCCAAGAGACAAGUGAAAGGCCCUCUGCCAUUUACACUGCCAAGGUCCCUUACCCUGCAGCUCCCAAGCUGGGGAGAAAACAAAAAGCCAGAGUUCACCCCAGGGUUGCAGUGCACAGCCUGAGAGUGCCAAGCUGGGAUCUGCAGCCAGCAUUGAAUAGAAGGGGAGCCCUACACUCUCAGAGUACUGAGAGAGAACACUGCUGCAAUCACGAGGAAAUGCAGAGGAGCUGAUGCAGAGGAGUAAUGUGGCUGAGCAAGAGCCUACAUACUGGCCAUUACACAUAGGCACCAUCUACUGGAUCCCAGGCCAAACUUUGACACCAAAAAUACUUUGCUAAUAUAGCCCCCUGUGAAACCAAGGACAAGAAUUCAGCCACAAAUGAAGACCCUGCACAAAGCCCCGGCCUUUUGAAAACAUCCAGAAAUGAAGUCAAUUGACUGUACUCAAAUUACACCACAGUUAAAGGAACAUCAGCCCACGUGGAUGAGAAAGAACCAGCACAAGAAUUAUGGCAACUCUAAAAGUUAGAGUGUCUCCUUACCUCCAAAAGAUCACAUUAGCUCCCAAGCCAUUGUUCUUAACCAGAAUGAAAUGGCUGAAAUGACAGACAUAGAAUUCAAAAUCUAGAUGAUAACAAAAGGUCAUUGAAAUUCAGGAAAAAGUUGAAACCCAUUCCAAAAAACAUGAAGAAUCCAGUAAAAUGAUUCAGGAAAUGAAAGAUGAAAUAGCCAUUUUAAGAAAGAACCAAAUGGAGAUGACAGAGCUGGAAAACUGACUACAAGAAUCUCAUAACACAAUAGGAAGUAUCAAUAACAGAAAAGACCAAGCUGAGGAAAGAAUCUCAGAGAUUCAAGACCAGUUCUUUGAAUUAUCAGGUUGAUGCAAAAGUGAUUGUGGCUUUUGUCAUAUUUGAUGGCAAAAACCACAAUUACUUUUGCACCAACCUGAUAACUCAGACAAGAAAAAAAAAAACUUGGAAAAAUAUAAUAUUAUGUAAAGAGUCCAAAUCUAUGACUCAGUGGCAUAUCUGAAAGGGAGAGAAAACGAGAAAAUUGGAAAAUAUAUUUGAUGAUAUUGUCCACAGAAAUUUCCCCAACCCCAUAAAAGGAGUCAGCAUACAAAUUCAAAAAAUUUAGAGGACCCCUGUGAAAUAUAGUACAAGAGGACCAUCUUCAAGACAAAUACUCAUCAGAUUCUUCGAGUUCAAUGUGAAAGAAAAAAAUAUUAAAGGCAACUCAAGAGGAGGGGCAGGUCACCUACAAAGGGAACCCCAUCAGGCUAACAGCAGACCUUUCAGCAGAAACUACAAGCCAGAAGAGAUUGAGAGCCUAUAUUCAGCAUCCUUAAAGAAAAGAAAUUCCAACCAAGAAUUUCAUAUCCAGCCAAACUAAGCUUCAUAAACACAGAAGAAAUAAGAUCUCUUUCAGAGAAGCAAUUGCUAAGGAAAUGUGUUACCACAACAUCUACCUUAUAAGAGGUCCUUAAGGGAGUGCUAAACAUGGAAAUGAGCACCGUGAAAACACACUCAAGUACAUAGACUAUCAAUAACAUAAGGCAAAUACACAAUCAAGUCUACAUAACAACCAGCUAACAAAAUAAUGGCAGGAUCAAAUCUGCACAUAUAAAUAUUAACCUUGAGCAUAAAUGGGUUAAACACCUCACUUAAAAGACAUAGAGUAACAAGUUGGAUUAAGAAGCAAGACCCAUGUAUGCUGUCUUCAAGGGACCCAGCUCACAUACAAGGACACCCACAGGUUCAAAGUAAAGGGAGGGAGAAAGAUCUAUCAAGCAAAUAGAAAACAAAAAAGAGCAGGAGUUGCUAUUCUUAUUUUAAACAGAACCAACUUUAAACCAAUAAUGAUAAAAAAGGAAAAAGAAGGGCAUUACAUAAUAAUAAACAGUUUAAUUCCACAAGAAGACUUAACCAUCCUAAGUAUGUAUGCACCCAAAACUGGAGCACCCAGAUUCAUAAAAUAAGCUCUUAGAGACGUAUGAAGAGACUUAGAGAAACAUAAUAGUAGUGGGAGAAUUCAACACCACACUAAUGAUAUUGGACAGAUCAAAGCAGAAUGCUAACGAAAAUAUUCAGGACCUAAACUUUACUCUUGACCAACAAUCUGUAGAUGGAUCUAACAGACGUCUACAGAACACUCCACCCAACAAAAACGGAGUAUACAUUCUUCUCAUCUACACAUGAAACACACUCUAAAAUUGACCACAUGCUCAGCCAUAAAGCAAUUCUCAACAAAUUAAAAAAUGGAAAUAAUACCAACCACACUCUCAGACCAGAGCACAAUAAAAAUAGCAAUCAAUACCAAGAACAUUUCUCAAAACCAUACAAUAAAAUGGAAAUUAAUCUGUUCCUGAAUGACUUUUGGGUAAACAAUGAAAUUAAGGCAGGAAUCAAGAAAAUCUUUGAAAUUAAUGAAAACAAAGAUACAAUGUAACAGAAUCUCUGGGACACAGCUAAAACAGUGUUAAGAGGGAAGUUUGUAGCUCUAAACACCCACAUCAAAAAGUUAGAAAGAUCUCAAAUUAACAACCUAACAUCACACCUAGAGGAACUUGAAAAAUAAGAGGAAACCAAUAUCAAAGGUAGCAGAAGAAAAUAACAAAAAUCAGAGCUGAACUGAAUUAAAUGGAAAUGAGAAAAACCAUAUAAAACAUCAAGGAAACCAAAAGUUGGUUCUUCAGAAGAAUAAGUACGAUUGACAGACUGCUUGCUAGGCUAAUAAUAAAGAAAAA
Long non-coding RNA from Pongo pygmaeus (Bornean orangutan), 3775 nucleotides. RefSeq lists it as uncharacterized. The record is from RefSeq and is a predicted model, not a curated record. The transcript is spliced from 3 exons. NCBI's taxonomy places the organism in Eukaryota, Metazoa, Chordata, Mammalia, Primates, Hominidae.